CCUACGGGGUGCAGCAGUGAGGAAUAUUGGUCAAUGGGCGAGAGCCUGAACCAGCCAAGCCGCGUGAGGGAAGACGGUCCUAUGGCUUGUAAACCUCUUUUGCCGGGGAGCAAAAAGCGGUACGUUUACCGCACCGAGAGUACCCGGAGAAAAAGCAUAGGCUAACUCCGCGCCAGCAGCCGCGGUAAUACGGAGGAUGCGAGCGUUAUCCGGAUUUAUUGGGUUUAAGGGGUGCGCCGGGGGCGCGUUAAUUCAGAGGUAAAAUUUCGGGGCACAACGCCGACAAGCCGUUGAAUCUGGCUUGCUAGAGUGGGCAAGAAGUAUGCGGAAUGCGUGGUGUAGCGGUGAAAUGCAUAGAUAGCACGCAGAACUCCGAUUGCGAAGGCAGCACACCGGCGCCCAACUGACGCUCAUGCACGAAAGCGUGGGUAUCGAACAGGAUUAGAUACCCCUGUAGUC
This 459-nucleotide ribosomal RNA is filed under the name uncultured bacterium. RNAcentral describes it as "partial 16S ribosomal RNA". It matches the Rfam family "Bacterial small subunit ribosomal RNA", at positions 338 to 795 of the family's 1533-position model. The record is from RNAcentral.